UACGUAGGUGGCAAGCGUUGUCCGGAAUUAUUGGGCGUAAAGCGCGCGCAGGUGGUUUCUUAAGUCUGAUGUGAAAGCCCACGGCUCAACCGUGGAGGGUCAUUGGAAACUGGGGAACUUGAGUGCAGGAGAGAAGAGUGGAAUUCCACGUGUAGCGGUGAAAUGCGUAGAGAUGUGGAGGAACACCAGUGGCGAAGGCGACUCACUGGCCCGAUACUGACGCUGAGGCACGAAAGCGUGGGGAGCAAACAGG
Molecule: ribosomal RNA, 253 nt
Filed under: uncultured bacterium
Lineage: Bacteria
Description: partial 16S ribosomal RNA
Rfam family: Bacterial small subunit ribosomal RNA
Source: RNAcentral